RNAcentral lists this ribosomal RNA (1344 nucleotides) under uncultured bacterium. Its description in RNAcentral is "bacterial SSU rRNA". It matches the Rfam family "Bacterial small subunit ribosomal RNA", at positions 8 to 1373 of the family's 1533-position model. The record is from RNAcentral.
AGAGUUUGAUCCUGGCUCAGGACGAACGCUGGCGGCGCGCCUAACACAUGCAAGUCGAACGAGCGAGAGAGAGCUUGCUUUCUCGAGCGAGUGGCGAACGGGUGAGUAACGCGUGAGGAACCUGCCUCAAAGAGGGGGACAACAGUUGGAAACGACUGCUAAUACCGCAUAAGCCCACAGCUCGGCAUCGAGCAGAGGGAAAAGGAGCAAUCCGCUUUGAGAUGGCCUCGCGUCCGAUUAGCUAGUUGGUGAGGUAACGGCCCACCAAGGCGACGAUCGGUAGCCGGACUGAGAGGUUGAACGGCCACAUUGGGACCGAGACACGGCCCAGACUCCUACGGGAGGCAGCAGUGGGGAAUAUUGCACAAUGGGGGAAACCCUGAUGCAGCGACGCCGCGUGGAGGAAGAAGGUCUUCGGAUUGUAAACUCCUGUUGUUGAGGAAGAUAAUGACGGUACUCAACAAGGAAGUGACGGCUAACUACGUGCCAGCAGCCGCGGUAAAACGUAGGUCACAAGCGUUGUCCGGAAUUACUGGGUGUAAAGGGAGCGCAGGCGGGAAGGCAAGUUGGAAGUGAAAUCCAUGGGCUCAACCCAUGAACUGCUUUCAAAACUGUUUUUCUUGAGUAGUGCAGAGGUAGGCGGAAUUCCCGGUGUAGCGGUGGAAUGCGUAGAUAUCGGGAGGAACACCAGUGGCGAAGGCGGCCUACUGGGCACCAACUGACGCUGAGGCUCGAAAGUGUGGGUAGCAAACAGGAUUAGAUACCCUGGUAGUCCACACUGUAAACGAUGAUUACUAGGUGUUGGAGGAUUGACCCCUUCAGUGCCGCAGUUAACACAAUAAGUAAUCCACCUGGGGAGUACGACCGCAAGGUUGAAACUCAAAGGAAUUGACGGGGGCCCGCACAAGCAGUGGAGUAUGUGGUUUAAUUCGACGCAACGCGAAGAACCUUACCAAGUCUUGACAUCCUGCGACGCACAUAGAAAUAUGUAUUUCCUUCGGGACGCAGAGACAGGUGGUGCAUGGUUGUCGUCAGCUCGUGUCGUGAGAUGUUGGGUUAAGUCCCGCAACGAGCGCAACCCUUAUGGUCAGUUACUACGCAAGAGGACUCUGGCCAGACUGCCGUUGACAAAACGGAGGAAGGUGGGGAUGACGUCAAAUCAUCAUGCCCUUUAUGACUUGGGCUACACACGUACUACAAUGGCGUUAAACAAAGAGAAGCAAGACCGCGAGGUGGAGCAAAACUCAGAAACAACGUCUCAGUUCGGACUGCAGGCUGCAACUCGCCUGCACGAAGUCGGAAUUGCUAGUAAUCGCAGAUCAGCAUGCUGCGGUGAAUACGUUC